This 435-nucleotide ribosomal RNA is filed under the name Triticum aestivum (bread wheat). RNAcentral's name for it is "partial small subunit ribosomal RNA". The record is from RNAcentral. Lineage: Eukaryota; Viridiplantae; Streptophyta; Magnoliopsida; Poales; Poaceae.
AUGACUACCUCCACCACCGCCGCCAUCCCCUGUCUCCUCCUCCUUGCCACGCUCACCAUCGCCGCUGCUGAAAUAGGGCACCCGCAGGCUCCGGCGGCAGCCACAGGCGCCGUGGGCUGCCGGACGGAGAUCAGGGACGUGGGCAAGAACAAGCUGGUGCAGUCCCUGGGCCGGUUCGCGGUGUCCGAGCACAACCGCCGCCUCAGCCACGGCGGCAGACCAGUCAACAACGGUGACCCCGUCCAGGUCCAGCUCGUCUUCAUCGCCGUGGCGGCGGCGCAGAAGCAGGUCGCCUCCGGGGUGGUAUACUACCUGAAGGUUAUCGCCCGGGACCGCGCCGGCGGCGGCGGGGACAGGCCGUUCGACGCCGUGGUGGUCGUCAAGGCGUGGAUCAAGUCCAAGGAGCUCGUGUCUCUCAUGCCUUCUCCCAAGUAA